RNAcentral lists this ribosomal RNA (818 nucleotides) under Thulinius augusti. Its description in RNAcentral is "SSU rRNA". It matches the Rfam family "Eukaryotic small subunit ribosomal RNA", at positions 113 to 933 of the family's 1831-position model. The record is from RNAcentral. Lineage: Eukaryota; Metazoa; Tardigrada; Eutardigrada; Parachela; Doryphoribiidae.
UGGUUCACUAGAUCGUAUGAAUUACAUGGAUAACUGUGGUAAUUCUAGAGCUAAUACAUGCAACCAGCUCGGCUGCCUUGUGCAGCGAGCGCAGUUAUUAGAACAAAACCAAUCCGGCUUUGGUCGGUUGAUUGGUGACUCUGAAUAACCGAAGCAGAGCGCUAAGGUCUCGUACCGGCGCCAGAUCUUUCAAGUGUCUGACUUAUCAGCUUGUUGCGAGGUUAUGUUCCUCGCAAGGCGUUGACGGGUGACGGGGAAUCAGGGUCCGAUUCCGGAGAGGGAGCCUGAGAAACGGCUACCACAUCCAAGGAAGGCAGCAGGCGCGCAAAUUACCCACUCCCGGCACGGGGAGGUAGUGACGAAAAAUAACGAUGCGAGAGCUUUUAGCUUUUCGUAAUCGGAAUGGGUACACUUUAAAUCCUUUAACGAGGAUCUAUUGGAGGGCAAGUCUGGUGCCAGCAGCCGCGGUAAUUCCAGCUCCAAUAGCGUAUAUUAAAGUUGCUGCGGUUAAAAAGCUCGUAGUUGGAUCCGGGCAGUCGACGCGCGGUGCGCCUUACGGCGUUACUGCGUGCUCGUCGCCACUAUCCGGCCUUGUCUUUCAUGUUCUUUACUGAGCGUGAUUGGCGACCGGGACGUUUACUUUGAAAAAAUUAGAGUGCUUAAAGCAGGCAUAUGGCCUUGCAUAAUGGUGCAUGGAAUAAUGGAAUAGGACCUCGGUUCUAUUUUGUUGGUUUUCGGAGCUCGAGGUAAUGAUUAAGAGGAACAGACGGGGACAUUCGUAUUGCGGCGUUAGAGGUGAAAUUCUUGGAUCGUCGCAA